UACGGAAGGCAGCAGUGGGGAAUAUUGCACAAUGGGCGCAAGCCUGAUGCAGCCAUGCCGCGUGUAUGAAGAAGGCCUUCGGGUUGUAAAGUACUUUCAGUCGUGAGGAAGGUGUUAAGGUUAAUAACCUUAGCAAUUGACGUUAGCGACAGAAGAAGCACCGGCUAACUCCGUGCCAGCAGCCGCGGUAAUACGGAGGGUGCGAGCGUUAAUCGGAAUUACUGGGCGUAAAGGGCACGCAGGCGGUUAAUUAAGUUGGAUGUGAAAUCCCCGGGCUUAACCUGGGAAUGGCAUUCAAGACUGGUUAGCUAGAGUCUUGUAGAGGGGGUAGAAUUCCAUGUGUAGCGGUGAAAUGCGUAGAGAUGUGGAGGAAUACCGGUGGCGAAGGCGACCCCUGGACAAAGGACUGACGCUCAUGUGCGAAAGCGUGGGGAGCAAACAGGGAUUAGAUACC
This 454-nucleotide ribosomal RNA is filed under the name uncultured bacterium. RNAcentral describes it as "bacterial SSU rRNA". It matches the Rfam family "Bacterial small subunit ribosomal RNA", at positions 340 to 786 of the family's 1533-position model. The record is from RNAcentral.